This 228-nucleotide ribosomal RNA is filed under the name uncultured Nitrobacter sp. RNAcentral's name for it is "partial 16S ribosomal RNA". It matches the Rfam family "Bacterial small subunit ribosomal RNA", at positions 1259 to 1485 of the family's 1533-position model. The record is from RNAcentral. Lineage: Bacteria; Pseudomonadati; Pseudomonadota; Alphaproteobacteria; Hyphomicrobiales; Nitrobacteraceae.
UACCCCUAGCAAAUCUCAAAAAACCGAUCUCAGUUCGGAUUGGAGUCUGCAAUUCGACUCCAUGAAGUCGGAAUCGCUAGUAAUCGCGGAUCAGCACGCCGCGGUGAAUCCGUUCCCGGGCCUUGUACACACCGCCCGUCACACCAUGGGAGCUGACUCAACCAGAAGACGAUCAGGCUAACCGUAAGGAGGCCUUCGGCGAAGGUGGGGUCAGCGACUGGGGUGAAG